UACGUAGGGCGCAAGCGUUGUCCGGAUUUAUUGGGCGUAAAGAGCUCGUAGGCGGUCUGUCGCGUCGGAUGUGAAAACCCAGGGCUCAACCCUGGGCCUGCAUUCGAUACGGGCAGACUAGAGUAUGGCAGGGGAGACUGGAAUUCCUGGUGUAGCGGUGAAAUGCGCAGAUAUCAGGAGGAACACCGGUGGCGAAGGCGGGUCUCUGGGCCAAAACUGACGCUGAGGAGCGAAAGCGUAGGGAGCGAACAGG
RNAcentral lists this ribosomal RNA (253 nucleotides) under uncultured bacterium. Its description in RNAcentral is "partial 16S ribosomal RNA". It matches the Rfam family "Bacterial small subunit ribosomal RNA", at positions 524 to 776 of the family's 1533-position model. The record is from RNAcentral.